GACGAACGCUGGCGGCGUGCUUAACACAUGCAAGUCGAACGGAAAGGCCCCUUUGGGGGUACUCGAGUGGCGGACGGGCGAGUAACACGUGCGUAACCUGCCCUUGCCUUCGGGUUAACUAAAGGAAACUGGGGCUAAUACAGGCUAGGAAUCCUUGCUGCAUGGAGGGGGUUGGAAAGAUUUGGCGGGUUUGGAUGGACUCGCGGGCUAUCAGCUUGUUGGUGGGGUAGGGGGUUACCAAGGCUUUCACGGGUAGGCGGCCUGGGGGGGGGACCGGCCACAAUGGGGCUGAGAUACGGCCCAGACUCCUACGGGGGGCAGCAGGGGGGAAUAUUGCACAAAGGGCGGGAGCCUGAUGCAGCAACGCCGCGGGCGGGAAGACGGCCUUCGGGUUGGAAACCGCUUUCAGCAGGGGCGAAGCUUGUGGUGACGGUACCUGCAGAAGAAGCACCGGCUAACUACGUG
Molecule: ribosomal RNA, 465 nt
Filed under: uncultured bacterium
Lineage: Bacteria
Description: partial 16S ribosomal RNA
Rfam family: Bacterial small subunit ribosomal RNA
Source: RNAcentral